RNAcentral lists this long non-coding RNA (595 nucleotides) under Homo sapiens (human). RNAcentral's name for it is "HSALNT0355280". The record is from RNAcentral. Lineage: Eukaryota; Metazoa; Chordata; Mammalia; Primates; Hominidae.
UUUCCUGGGUCUUGUAUGGGCGGGGGCCUUAUGAAUGUACCAUCCAAGUAGAAAAGAUGGGCUCACCACAUGAACGCAGCUUCCAGACACCUCCAGCUGUGUCUCCCCAGGACCCUUCCAUGGAGGUCUGACAGCCCUGGCCCAGGCAGAACACGGCCUCAGCGUGCUCCUGUGGACCCUGGUGGGAGCCCCAGGAGCCGCGGUGAUGGGGUGAGUCGGGCCAACUUCUUGGCUGUUGCCUGUGGCCCAUCAACGCCUGCGGGUGGACGCCCUUCAGGGCCAGAGCAGGCGCCUCAGCGUGCAGACACUGUCUGGCUCUCUUUCUGCGUUUUCUUCAUCUGGAUUCUGUUGGGACAACAAUCAAGGCUGUCUCGUUCUGUCUGUGGAAUGGGCCUCACCUAGCAAGAAGCCCCAGGGGCCCCCAGGGCUGGGUUACCGGCAGAGAGAAGCCACUGCGACCUUUGCCCUCCCUAAAUCCAGAGGUAUUUGGCCCAGAAGCUCCUCCCUGAGUCCUUGCUGGAGCAUUUGUCUUCAAACGGAGGAGGAGAACCAAUGGAGUCUCAUUCUGCGGCUCACUGCAACCUCCACCUCCCGG